RNAcentral lists this ribosomal RNA (304 nucleotides) under uncultured bacterium. RNAcentral describes it as "partial 16S ribosomal RNA". It matches the Rfam family "Bacterial small subunit ribosomal RNA", at positions 506 to 807 of the family's 1533-position model. The record is from RNAcentral.
CAGCAGUAGCCGCGGGAAUACGAAGGGUGCAAGCGUUACUCGGAAUUACUGGGCGUAAAGCGUGCGUAGGUGGUGGUUUAAGUCCGUUGUGAAAGCCCUGGGCUCAACCUGGGAAUUGCAGUGGAUACUGGGUCACUAGAGUGUGGUAGAGGAUAGUGGAAUUUCCGGUGUAGCAGUGAAAUGCGUAGAGAUCGGAAGGAACAUCUGUGGCGAAGGCGACUAUCUGGGCCAACACUGACACUGAGGCACGAAAGCGUGGGGAGCAAACAGGAUUAGAUACCCCGGUAGUCCCUGUCUCUUAUAC